CCUACGUGAGGCUGCAGUAGGGAAUCUUCCACAAUGGGCGAAAGCCUGAUGGAGCAACGCCGCGUGGGUGAAGAAGGUCUUCGGAUCGUAAAACCCUGUUGUUAGAGAAGAAAGUGCGUGAGAGUAACUGUUCACGUUUCGACGGUAUCUAACCAGAAAGCCACGGCUAACUACGUGCCAGCAGCCGCUGUAAUACGUAGGUGGCAAGCGUUAUCCGGAUUUAUUGGGCGUAAAGGGAACGCAGGCGGUCUUUUAAGUCUGAUGUGAAAGCCUUCGGCUUAACCGGAGUAGUGCAUUGGAAACUGGGAGACUUGAGUGCAGAAGAGGAGAGUGGAACUCCAUGUGUAGCGGUGAAAUGCGUAGAUAUAUGGAAGAACACCAGUGGCGAAAGCGGCUCUCUGGUCUGUAACUGACGCUGAGGUUCGAAAGCGUGGGUAGCAAACAGGAUUAGAUACCCUAGUAGUC
This 465-nucleotide ribosomal RNA is filed under the name uncultured bacterium. RNAcentral describes it as "partial 16S ribosomal RNA". It matches the Rfam family "Bacterial small subunit ribosomal RNA", at positions 338 to 795 of the family's 1533-position model. The record is from RNAcentral.